This 247-nucleotide ribosomal RNA is filed under the name uncultured bacterium. RNAcentral's name for it is "partial 16S ribosomal RNA". It matches the Rfam family "Bacterial small subunit ribosomal RNA", at positions 28 to 274 of the family's 1533-position model. The record is from RNAcentral.
GACGAACGCUGGCGGCGUGCCUAAUACAUGCAAGUCGAGCGGAUGCAUCCUUCGGGGUGUGUUAGCGGCGGACGGGUGAGUAACACGUAGGCAACCUGCCUGUAAGAUCGGGAUAACUACCGGAAACGGUAGCUAAGACCGAAUAGCUGGUCCCCUUGCAUGAGGGGACCAUGAAACACGGUGCAAACUGUGACUUACAGAUGGGCCUGCGGCGCAUUAGCUAGUUGGAGGGUAACGCCUACAAGGC